AUGAAGGCAUGGGCAAAAACUUACACGGACACAAAGUUCGUCAAGUUUUUGGCAGAUGGUUCAGCAAAAUACACCCAUGCUCUUGGCCUAGAGCUUGACCUCUCGGAGAAGGGGCUUGGCACCCGCUCUCGCAGGUUUGCCUUGCUUGUGGAUGACCUCAAGGUGAAGACUGCCAAUAUUGAAACUGGGGGAGAAUUCACUGUCUCAGGCUCGGAGGAUCUCCUCAAGACUCUUUAAUUUUCUCAGUUUCUUGCAA
RNAcentral lists this long non-coding RNA (256 nucleotides) under Panax ginseng (ginseng). RNAcentral's name for it is "long non-coding RNA (PGIN_LNC011787)". Lineage: Eukaryota; Viridiplantae; Streptophyta; Magnoliopsida; Apiales; Araliaceae. The record is from RNAcentral.